UACACACCGCCCGUCACAUCACGAAAGCCCGUUGUACUAGAAGCCGGUAAUUCAACCGCGAAGGAGAUAGCCGUCCAAGGUAUGACUGGUGAUUGGGGUG
This 100-nucleotide ribosomal RNA is filed under the name uncultured bacterium. RNAcentral's name for it is "partial 16S ribosomal RNA". It matches the Rfam family "Bacterial small subunit ribosomal RNA", at positions 1384 to 1482 of the family's 1533-position model. The record is from RNAcentral.